AAGGUCACCAUGACAACAUGUUUUUAUAUUUGAGGAGUGUCUAUUGUGUUCUUCCUGGGAUUGGUGGAUUGGUUAAAUGACGGUGCAAAUGUGCUGGAAAGGUCAGUGAAAAAAACUCUAAAACAUGACUCUUUUAGAGAUGGGCUAUAAAUGAACACAAAAUAGGACAGGAUGUUAUUUCUCUGGCCACGUAUCGUAAGUGCGGAUGUCCUAUUAAUUGCUUUAUUAAAUUUGCUGCCUUUUCAUGCUGUUUUGGACUGAAAGGAGAACACGAAGGAUUAUUAAAAUUAGAUGGCAAAAGUGGAAACCGCAGACGGCUGUCAAAACAACAGGAAACCAAUAUCCGCCAAAGCGCAACAAAAAGAUUGGUGAUUCUUGAGUCUUUGCCUGUACGCAAUGGUCUCCAUGUAAGAGACAUACCAUGGGCUGAUCUUCAUGAGAGGGAUGGGAGCGCAGGUGAAGAACACGGUGAGCAGCAGGAAGGACUUCCGGCCCC
Molecule: long non-coding RNA, 496 nt
Organism: Carassius gibelio (silver crucian carp)
Lineage: Eukaryota; Metazoa; Chordata; Actinopteri; Cypriniformes; Cyprinidae
Exons: 3
Source: RefSeq, a predicted model, not a curated record